Hyposmocoma kahamanoa is the source of this 784-nucleotide long non-coding RNA. RefSeq lists it as uncharacterized. The transcript is spliced from 4 exons. The record is from RefSeq and is a predicted model, not a curated record. NCBI's taxonomy places the organism in Eukaryota, Metazoa, Arthropoda, Insecta, Lepidoptera, Cosmopterigidae.
AUCCCAAGGGAACGUAUACCGCUACGUUGCCGUAUCUGCUACGGUUGAAUUCUAAAGCCUCUGGACUAUCGUUAUAUGUACGUAAUGCGCUGAAAAUCGACUGAUGUCUACAGUAUUAGGCAUUGCCUGGUAAUUGCACACAUAGGCGGAUUUAUUGUACAGCAACCAAACCCUAUACAAAGGCUUCAUAUCGAACCAUAUCGAGUAAAUAAUGUUAAAUAAGUGAUUUAUACGCAACGACAUGUUUAAUUCGACUGCCUGAUCUUAUUAAUAACAUGAAAGGUCUUGUCUGGUUGGACCAUGAAGUUGAAAAGGGUCACAACACAUGCGUGCGUUUUUGCUAGUGCCACGACGAGAUCACGAUCAGAUUAUCAGGCUAACCAAAGAAGUCGAUCAUAAUAUUGGCUGUCGUCGUUCGUGGUUGCUUCAAAUAAACGUCAGCUAAAAUAUGGAAUGACUUGCUCCUUCUGCAAGUCGGGCAGUGCAUCAACUGUUACCGACAUUCGGAUGAAAAUGCUCACAAUGGCUGUUAUUUGAGAAGCUAUUUCGCGAUGCCAGGUUUCUUAUAAUUGUUACUUUAUGCGUUACAUUUCUUGUAAUUGUUACUUCAACUUUAAAUUUUAGCUGUAUGUCACUCUUGUUAUUAUCGUUUUUACUCAAGUAUGCAAUGCGUGUAUGUAUAUUUGAUAUAUUUUUGUGUGUUUUAACAAUCACAGGCUAUAGCAGAAUAUCAACGAGGGCAAUGUGCUUCAUAUAAGUAGCCUUCUGUAGCUGAGUCAUAAAC